Molecule: ribosomal RNA, 109 nt
Filed under: Shigella flexneri K-1770
Lineage: Bacteria; Pseudomonadati; Pseudomonadota; Gammaproteobacteria; Enterobacterales; Enterobacteriaceae
Also listed under: 1 other name
Source: RNAcentral
GGCGGCCGUAGCGCGGUGGUCCCACCUGACCCCAUGCCGAACUCAGAAGUGAAACGCCGUAGCGCCGAUGGUAGUGUGGGGUCUCCCCAUGCGAGAGUAGGGAACUGCC